Molecule: transfer RNA, 81 nt
Filed under: Paragonimus westermani
Lineage: Eukaryota; Metazoa; Platyhelminthes; Trematoda; Plagiorchiida; Troglotrematidae
Description: tRNA-Thr
Rfam family: tRNA
About the family: Transfer RNA (tRNA) molecules are approximately 80 nucleotides in length. Their secondary structure includes four short double-helical elements and three loops (D, anti-codon, and T loops). Further hydrogen bonds mediate the characteristic L-shaped molecular structure. tRNAs have two regions of fundamental functional importance: the anti-codon, which is responsible for specific mRNA codon recognition, and the 3' end, to which the tRNAs corresponding amino acid is attached (by aminoacyl-tRNA synthetases). tRNAs cope with the degeneracy of the genetic code in two manners: having more than one tRNA (with a specific anti-codon) for a particular amino acid; and 'wobble' base-pairing, i.e. permitting non-standard base-pairing at the 3rd anti-codon position.
Source: RNAcentral
GACUUUGUAGCUCAACUGGUAGAGCAUUUGCCGUGUUUGGAAAUGAUAUUUUCGUUGCUGGUUUGAAUCCAGCCGAAGUCC